UAGGUCGGAAGAGUUUGACUUGCUUUUUGGGGGAAAUUUUGAGGGAUGAUACCCGAUAAUAUGUGGGAUGCGAUCGAUUCGGAGAUUGAAAACUCCGGUGGAUAGAGGAUGGCACGCGCAAGAUUAAUAGUUGGUAGGUAGCGGUCAGCAAGGUCUAGGAGUCUUAGGGGGCCUAGAGGUUAGUCCCAGAGUGGUAUAGAGAGGAGCAGAGUUCCUAGGAGGAAUAGGAGUAUUGAAGUGUUAGAGCCUUAGUCCAGGCAGUCCCGCGUAAGGNACAGCUGCCCUAUGGGUUGUAAACUUCUUUUGUAUAGGGGAUAAACCUACCCUCGUUGAGGGUAGCUGAAGGGUACUAUACNAAUAAGCACCGGGUUAACUCCGUGCCAAGCGGGGUAAUACGGAGGGGUGCAAGCGUUAUCCGGAUUUAGUUGGGUUAAGAGGGGUCCGAGGGGGAGUCUUGUAAGUCAGGUGUAAGAGUCUCAGCAGGUUAAUUGUAGAAGUUGCAGUUAGUAUGGAGGGGUCUUUGAGGUGUUGGUAAGGUAGCCUUGAAGUAAGGUAGUUGUAGCCGGUUANAAGUGCAUUAAAGUUUUUAGCUUAAGAAAG
This 600-nucleotide ribosomal RNA is filed under the name uncultured bacterium. RNAcentral's name for it is "partial 16S ribosomal RNA". The stretch from base 1 to 417 matches the Rfam family "Bacterial small subunit ribosomal RNA", at positions 115 to 546 of the family's 1533-position model. The record is from RNAcentral.